This 285-nucleotide unclassified non-coding RNA is filed under the name Hevea brasiliensis (rubber tree). Lineage: Eukaryota; Viridiplantae; Streptophyta; Magnoliopsida; Malpighiales; Euphorbiaceae. The record is from RNAcentral.
GGUCUGUCAGUUCCAAGGUGACCUGUUAGGAGGAAUGCACUGUGAUGGGAGAUUACCUCGGCAUGAUUGAAGCAGCAAGGCUUAGUAGCUUUUCAAUUUGUGAAGACUUUUGUCAAUUUAUAAAUGCUGCAGAACCUUUAAAGCAGUGAAGCUGAUUUUGAUUCAUCAUGAUGAAGAGAACCAAUCUCUUGGGAUGUAACAUUUAAGAGGGUAUUUGGUUUUGCUACAUAAAAUGUAUUUUUUAACUUAUAAAUUAAUUUAAAAAUAAAUAAAUAAUUUUUCAAU